This 307-nucleotide unclassified non-coding RNA is filed under the name fungal sp. RNAcentral's name for it is "partial internal transcribed spacer region". The stretch from base 1 to 46 matches the Rfam family "Eukaryotic small subunit ribosomal RNA", at positions 1786 to 1831 of the family's 1831-position model. The record is from RNAcentral. Lineage: Eukaryota; Fungi.
AAGUCGUAACAAGGUUUCCGUAGGUGAACCUGCGGAAGGAUCAUUAAUGAAGAUUGUUGCUUGUGUUACCGCCAGGAGCUUUACCGGACCGAUGUAGGCUGGGAUUCAAAUCCGUACAGCUUGAAGGGCCGCUAGCACCCGGACACAAGCAACAGGCCUCAAAGGCCUUACUUCAACCACUUGUGAAUUUGUAAUUUAUAAUUUUACCAACUGACUGUUAACGAAGACUGAUUCAAAAACUUGUUGGUGUUUAAAGACACUAAUACAAUUAUUGAAACAACUUUUGGCAACGGAUCUCUUGGCUCUC